This 1345-nucleotide unclassified non-coding RNA is filed under the name Hevea brasiliensis (rubber tree). Lineage: Eukaryota; Viridiplantae; Streptophyta; Magnoliopsida; Malpighiales; Euphorbiaceae. The record is from RNAcentral.
GCUGAUUUCAUACUUAAAAGCCGGCUGCUCAUCUGAUGACCAGUGCUCUGAGCAACAAAUCCAGGAUUGCCUGAUCCAUCAUUAGCCUUCCAUCUAAUAAUGGCACGGUGAAAUUCUGGUCGGAUUGGAUCUGCUUUUAUGGGCUGGAGAAGACGAGCCUGCAAUCUCGGAAGAUGAGGAUUUGCCCAUCCAGAAAGAUGGCGGAUGGCAGGGACUACAAAGAGAUGGAAACAAACAAGACAGCUCACUGGAUUUCCAGGCAAUCCAAAUGCAAGAAUUUUUUCUGACAUAGAAUUCUCUACUGGUUUUGAAUUUAUUUCUGCAAAUGUCAAAGGUUUCCCUGGUUUCAUGAGAACCUUGUUGAAAUGUACCAUCCCUCUCCUUUCAAGCAAUGGUUUGACAAAAUCCUUGUCCCCCAUGGAAACACCCCCUGAAGUUAGAAGAAUAUGAAUACCAGCAGAAAAGGCUUUGUCCAUUGUCCUAUCAAGAUCUUCUUUAUCAUCUCUAGCAAUUCCAAGAUCAAGAACCUUGCAUUGUUGCUGUAUUGCAGCUGCAAGUAACAUAGCACGAUUGGAGUCCCUAAUCUGGCCACGACUUAGACAAGCAGUUGUCGGUUCCACAAGUUCAUCUCCUGAGGAAAGCACAGCAAUUGUUGGUGUAGGAUAUACCUUCACUGUCAGAACACCAACAGUAGCAAGCAGGCCAAUUUCUGAAGCGCCUAAUCUUUCUCCAGAUUUUAAUACUAUGGCAUACUUCUCAAUGUCACAUCCCACAGGACGAAUAUCAACACCUUUGCUAGUCUUCACCAAUAUUCUUACUCGUUUUGAUUCAACUGAACCAUCAUCAACUACUUCAGUAUCCUCAACCUGAACAACUGCAUCAGCACCAUCGGGUAUCGGUCCUCCAGUCGUUACAUAAGCAACAGUCCCAGGAGUGACAGUCACACCAAGCCCAUCAUUCCCAGCUCUUGAUUCAGUAAUUAUCGGAUAUUCACCAGGCCCAUCUGAAGCAACUACUGCAUAACCAUCCUUGAUUGAAGCUGGGUAUGGAGGCAAAGGGUCAGGCGCACGAAUAUCCUCGGCCAGGACCUUACCCAAAGCAUCGUGGAGUGGCACCAUUAUUGGUGGUAGCCGCUGAGCCACCGAGAGAACCGUCGCUAGAGCCUCCUCCACUGAUAUCAUCGUGGGUUUUGUGGUGGCAUAGGUUGGUGUUUGCUUUCCGUUUAGCCCCAUUUUGGAGAAUAAUAAAGCUAAGACGAUAGAGAGAGAGAGUUGGACUCUGGAGUUUGGACUCCGCCGGCUGAGAAGAUGGUAAGACCCUUUGAUUCGUCUUGAAGUUCCAAAAU